AUUGAACGCUGGCGGCAUGCCUAACACAUGCAAGUCGAGCGGAUGAAGGAAGCUUUUGCCUCUAUUCAGCGGCGGACGGGCGGGUAAGUCAUACGAAUCUGCCCUGCAUUGGGGGAUAACGUCCCUAAACGGGCGCUAAUACCGCAUACGUCCAUAUUUUGAAAGGGGGGGAUCUUCGGACCUCACGCUUUUAGAUGUGCCUAGGUCGGCUUAGCUAGUUGGUUUGGUAAAGGCCUACCAAGACGACGUUCCUUAACUGCGCUGAGAAGAUGAUCCGUCACACUGGAACUGAGACACGGUCCAGACUCCUACGGGAGGCAGCAGUGGGGAAUAUUGGACAAUGGGCGAAAGCCUGAUCCAGCAAUGCCGCGUGUGUGAAGAAGGUCUUCGGAUUGUAAAGCUCUUUUAGUUGGGAGGAAGGGUAGUAAGUUAAUACCUUGCUGUUUUGACGUUACCAACAGAGAAAGCCCCGGCUAACUACGUG
This 484-nucleotide ribosomal RNA is filed under the name uncultured bacterium. Its description in RNAcentral is "partial 16S ribosomal RNA". It matches the Rfam family "Bacterial small subunit ribosomal RNA", at positions 30 to 507 of the family's 1533-position model. The record is from RNAcentral.